Molecule: small nuclear RNA, 101 nt
Organism: Peromyscus maniculatus bairdii (prairie deer mouse)
Lineage: Eukaryota; Metazoa; Chordata; Mammalia; Rodentia; Cricetidae
Gene: U12
Rfam family: U12 minor spliceosomal RNA
About the family: Although the U12 sequence is very divergent from that of U2, the two are functionally analogous.
Source: Ensembl
AUGCCUUAAACUUAUGAGUAAGGAAAAUAACGAUUCGGGGUGACGCCCAAGUCCUCACUGCUAAUUAUGUGUUUUCCAUGAUGUCUCAAAGUAAAAGCUUU